Molecule: ribosomal RNA, 686 nt
Filed under: Metacrangonyx sp. 4 MDMBR-2012
Lineage: Eukaryota; Metazoa; Arthropoda; Malacostraca; Amphipoda; Metacrangonyctidae
Description: 12S ribosomal RNA
Source: RNAcentral
CUUAAAUUAUUGUUUGGCUAUUCUUAUAUAAACUAAAUAUCUAAAAUUUUUAUUCCUUUUAUAAGUUAAUCUUUAUUUUUAAGGAGUACCCAAUUUUCUAUUUCAUGUGAAGGCUUUUAGAGGGAUUUAUAAUUAAAUGAUUAAUUUGGUGCCAGCUAUUGCGGUUAAACUAAAAUUUAAAGAAUAUUUUUAAGAAAAAUAGUUUAAUGAAGUAGAUAAUUAAUGAUAGGUGAAAUUUUUAAAAAAUAUUGCCCUUCUUAAUAUUAUUUAAAAAAAAGAGGCUGAACUAGGAUUAGAGACCCUACUACACUUUUAUUUUUGUUCUUAAAAGAUUAAAACUAAAAUUUAAAGAUUUGGCGGCUUUUUUAUUUAGAGGAACUUGUCUAUUUAAUUGAUACGCCCCUUUAAUUUUGUUUUUUAAUUAGUUUUGUAUACCAUCAUUUAAAUAAUUUUUUAAUAAGUAAUUAUUUAGAGUUUUUUAAAAAAGUUAGAUCAAGGUGCAGAUAUAUUAAAAAUUAGAUUAGUUACAAUAUUAAUAUAUACUGUAAGGAGUUAAUAACUCUAUAAAAGGCGGAUUUAACUGUAAUAUAGCAAUAUAUGUGAAGUUUAAUAAAUUAGUGUACAAAUUGCCCGUCACUCUCUUUGAGAUAAGUCGAAACAAAGUAGAAGUACCUGAAGGUGUUUCU